This 250-nucleotide ribosomal RNA is filed under the name uncultured bacterium. Its description in RNAcentral is "partial 16S ribosomal RNA". It matches the Rfam family "Bacterial small subunit ribosomal RNA", at positions 524 to 772 of the family's 1533-position model. The record is from RNAcentral.
UACGUAGGGUGCAAGCGUUGUCCGGAAUUAUUGGGCGUAAAGAGCUCGUAGGCGGUUUGUCGCGUCUGCUGUGAAAACCUAAGGCUCAACCUUGGGCUUGCAGUGGGUACGGGCAGACUAGAGUGCGGUAGGGGUGACUGGAAUUCCUGGUGUAGCGGUGAAAUGCGCAGAUAUCAGGAGGAACACCGGUGGCGAAGGCGGGUCUCUGGGCCGUAACUGACGCUGGAGGAGCGAAAGCGUGGGGAGCGAA